RNAcentral lists this transfer RNA (67 nucleotides) under Astalotermes cf. obstructus RDCT140. RNAcentral's name for it is "tRNA-Asn". The record is from RNAcentral. Lineage: Eukaryota; Metazoa; Arthropoda; Insecta; Blattodea; Termitidae.
UUAGUUGAAACCAAAAAGAGGUAUAUUAUUGUUAAUAAUAAAAUUGAAUAAACUAUUUCCAACUAAG